CCUACGGGAGGCAGCAGUGGGGAAUAUUGCACAAUGGGGGAAACCCUGAUGCAGCGACGCCGCGUGAGUGAAGAAGUAAUUCGUUAUGUAAAGCUCUAUCAGCAGGGAAGAAAAUGACGGUACCUGAGUAAGAAGCCCCUGCUAACUACGUGCCAGCAGCCGCGGUAAUACGUAGGGGGCAAGCGUUAUCCGGAUUUACUGGGUGGAAAGGGAGCGUAGACGGCAGUGCAAGUCUGGAGGGAAAGGCGGGGGCUCAACCCCCGGACUGCUCUGGAAACUGUACGGCUGGAGUGCAGGAGAGGUAAGUGGAAUUCCUAGUGUAGCGGUGAAAUGCGUAGAUAUUAGGAGGAACACCAGUGGCGAAGGCGGCUUACUGGACUGUAACUGACGUUGAGGCUCGAAAGCGUGGGGAGCAAACAGGAUUAGAUACCCUGGUAGUC
RNAcentral lists this ribosomal RNA (440 nucleotides) under uncultured bacterium. Its description in RNAcentral is "partial 16S ribosomal RNA". It matches the Rfam family "Bacterial small subunit ribosomal RNA", at positions 338 to 795 of the family's 1533-position model. The record is from RNAcentral.